This is a long non-coding RNA of Amphiprion ocellaris (clown anemonefish), 223 nucleotides long. The record is from Ensembl. Lineage: Eukaryota; Metazoa; Chordata; Actinopteri; Pomacentridae.
CUUUGAAAAAAAAAUCAUCAUGAAUUUUGGCGCAAAAAAAACGCCUUACUAUACUAUGUCGAAAAAAAAUGCGAUUUUUCAAACAUGUUGUAAAAACGUGCCAUAUGAUGAAAUAAUGUAAAGGACACCGUGAAAAACACUCCAGAAAGGUUUUCUUUGAAAAAAAAUCAUCAUGAAUUUUGGCGCAAAAAAAACGCCUUACUAUACUAUGUCGAAAAAAAAG